ACAAUGUACUUGGCAGUUACGAGGUAGGUAAUUCUGGGCUUCCAACAACUGGUAAAAAGGAAAAGAAGAGAGGAAGAUUCAGCGCUCUCUGUGGACUCAACCCAAAGUGUACAAAGAAGGUCAACAAGAAGAACCACUGCACUCCAACACCUUCCCAGAACCAGACCCCUUGCUGUCAGUGAAACAGCAAUUGUCAAUGAUCAAGAAUCCUGCCCAACAGAGAGUGUAUGCUCCACCAAGAAGAAACCAAGGAAGCGUUCGCUCAUUUCCAGGAUGUUUUCAGCUAUAGGCAAAGCCUUGUCCAGUCCCUUUACUUCCUGCUAUGAAAAGAAGAG
Non-coding RNA from Oncorhynchus mykiss (rainbow trout), 335 nucleotides. The record is from RefSeq and is a predicted model, not a curated record. NCBI's taxonomy places the organism in Eukaryota, Metazoa, Chordata, Actinopteri, Salmoniformes, Salmonidae.